This 55-nucleotide transfer RNA is filed under the name Angiostrongylus mackerrasae. RNAcentral describes it as "tRNA-Glu". Lineage: Eukaryota; Metazoa; Nematoda; Chromadorea; Rhabditida; Metastrongylidae. The record is from RNAcentral.
GAGAUAAUAGUAUAAUUUUGUAUAUUUUAUUUUCAAUAAAAUGGUGGGUAUCUUA